UUUAAAGAGAGUUUGAUCCUGGCUCAGGACGAACGCUGGCGGCGUGCCUAAUACAUGCAAGUCGAACGAACGGAGGAAGAGCUUGCUCUUCCAAAGUUAGUGGCGGACGGGUGAGUAACACGUGGGCAACCUGCCUGUAAGUUGGGGAUAACUCCGGGAAACCGGGGCUAAUACCGAAUGAUAAGAUGUGGCGCAUGCCACGCCUUUGAAAGAUGGUUUCGGCUAUCGCUUACAGAUGGGCCCGCGGUGCAUUAGCU
RNAcentral lists this ribosomal RNA (257 nucleotides) under Listeria booriae. Its description in RNAcentral is "partial 16S ribosomal RNA". It matches the Rfam family "Bacterial small subunit ribosomal RNA", at positions 1 to 246 of the family's 1533-position model. Lineage: Bacteria; Bacillati; Bacillota; Bacilli; Caryophanales; Listeriaceae. The record is from RNAcentral.